CCUACGGGAGGCAGCAGUGAGGAAUAUUGGUCAAUGGACGCAAGUCUGAACCAGCCAUGCCGCGUGCAGGAAGACGGCCCUAUGAGUUGUAAACUGCUUUUGUACGAGGGUAAACGCAGCUACGUGUAUCUGUUUGAAUGUAUCGUACGAAUAAGGAUCGGCUAACUCCGUGCCAGCAGCCGCGGUAAUACGGAGGAUCCAAGCGUUAUCCGGAUUUAUUGGGUUUAAAGGGUGCGUAGGGGGUUUGAUAAGUUAGAGGUGAAAUCUCGGGGCUCAACUUCGAAAUUGCAGUUGAUACUGGCAGGCUAGAGUGUAGUUGCGGUGGGCGGAAUGUAUGGUGUAGCGGUGAAAUGCUUAGAGAUCAUGCAGAACACCGAUUGCGAAGGCAGCUUACCGAACUAAAACUGACGUUGAGGCACGAAAGCGUGGGGAGCAAACAGGAUUAGAUACCCCAGUAGUC
Molecule: ribosomal RNA, 460 nt
Filed under: uncultured bacterium
Lineage: Bacteria
Description: partial 16S ribosomal RNA
Rfam family: Bacterial small subunit ribosomal RNA
Source: RNAcentral